This is a long non-coding RNA of Ipomoea nil (Japanese morning glory), 164 nucleotides long. RefSeq lists it as uncharacterized. The transcript is spliced from 3 exons. The record is from RefSeq and is a predicted model, not a curated record. NCBI's taxonomy places the organism in Eukaryota, Viridiplantae, Streptophyta, Magnoliopsida, Solanales, Convolvulaceae.
ACAUUCUUGUUGAUAUGGGAAUGAAUCUAUUUUCAAGUUCAGGAUGAUUAUCUGGAUUGUUUUUCUGAUCCAAAGGUUCUUGGUAAGAUUGGAACAGACAUUGAAGACUUUAAGUGCUCUUGGUUGGUUGUGAAAGCACUGGAACUUUGUAACGAGGAACAAAA